Phrynosoma platyrhinos (Desert horned lizard) is the source of this 72-nucleotide non-coding RNA. The record is from the annotation of a GenBank genome assembly. Lineage: Eukaryota; Metazoa; Chordata; Lepidosauria; Squamata; Phrynosomatidae.
GCCAAUGUGGUAUAGCGGUCUGAGUGUUGCACUAUUACUCUGGAGAACAGGGUUCGAAUCCCUCCAUUGCCA